This 431-nucleotide ribosomal RNA is filed under the name uncultured bacterium. RNAcentral's name for it is "partial 16S ribosomal RNA". It matches the Rfam family "Bacterial small subunit ribosomal RNA", at positions 29 to 507 of the family's 1533-position model. The record is from RNAcentral.
AACGAACGCUGGCGGCAGGCUUAACACAUGCAAGUCGAACGCCCCGCAAGGGGAGUGGCAGACGGGUGAGUAACGCGUGGGAACAUACCCUUUUCUACGGAAUAGCUCUGGGAAACUGGAAUUAAUACCGUAUACGCCCUACGGGGGAAAGAUUUAUCGGGGAAGGAUUGGCCCGCGUUGGAUUAGCUAGUUGGUGGGGUAAAGGCCUACCAAGGCGACGAUCCAUAGCUGGUCUGAGAGGAUGAUCAGCCACAUUGGGACUGAGACACGGCCCAAACUCCUACGGGAGGCAGCAGGGGGGAAUAUUGGACAAUGGGCGCAAGACUGAUCCAGCCAUGCCGCGUGAGUGAUGAAGGCCUUAGGGUUGUAAAGCUCUUUCACCGAUGAAGAUAAUGACGGUAGUCGGAGAAGAAGCCCCGGCUAACUUCGUG